Molecule: long non-coding RNA, 777 nt
Filed under: Vigna radiata
Lineage: Eukaryota; Viridiplantae; Streptophyta; Magnoliopsida; Fabales; Fabaceae
Description: long non-coding RNA (VRAD_LNC000953)
Source: RNAcentral
CAGCCUUACUGUGCUUGACUAUAUUUAAUUUCUUCUAUAAAUCGUUGGAAUCUAUACUAGUUUCUUAAUGACCGAACGUACUUUUAUUGUUAUUGCUCGGUCAUUAUUGUCAAGUCUUCGUUAUCACUUGGCUAGGAUGAGUCGACCUUUCGAUGUAAUCAUGGUUCCGUUUAUAUAGAGUCUUUGUUUCUAUAAUGAUUCUCUCUUCCUUCAUAUUCAAUAAAGGACGUCUAGAUCUCCUCUUCUACUAUCUCCCAUUCUUUCUCCUUUCUUUCUAAUGACCCAAUACCGUUCGGUUUUGAACUGUAAUAGUCAAUACCAUUCGGUUGCUUUUUCCACUGUUCAUUACCGUUCGUCUUCUUCCUAUAAUAGGUAACGUCGUUCGGUUUCGUCCUUAAAAGAUCAAUACCGUUUGGUCCCCUAUCAAACAGUGCAACUUCAUCGCUUUUGGCUGAAUAGGAUCACCGACCAAGAAAAUGGACAACUCUGAUUGCUUCGGAUCUAAUUCUGUCUUGGUCCACUCGGCAAUAGUACCACUUGAUCAUCCCCCAAUUGUUCGUAUUCUACCACGUUCUCCUUCUCUACCUCUCGGCCAUUGGUUCCUCCAUCUUGUAUUGGAGUAUGACCGAACGUCCUUUUGUUUAUUACCAUUCGGUCAUUACCAUCAAACUCUCAUUUUAACCUGACUACACUGAUUCAGCCUUUGACUAAAUUCAGCGUUUGAUUUCUCUAGUGUUCUGGCUUCCACGAGUUAGACUAUUGAUUCCCUAUCCCUGC